AGAGGUAUAGGAUGAGUUCGCGUCUGAUUAGCUAGUUGGUAAGGUAAUGGCUUACCAAGGCGACGAUCAGUAGCCGGCCUGAGAGGGUGAACGGCCACACUGGAACUGAGACACGGUCCAGACUCCUACGGGAGGCAGCAGUGGGGAAUAUUGCACAAUGGGGGAAACCCUGAUGCAGCGACGCCGCGUGAGUGAAGAAGGUCUUCGGAUCGUAAAACUCUGUCCUUGGUGAAGAAAAAAAUGACGGUAGCCAAGGAGGAAGCCCCGGCUAACUACGUGCCAGCAGCCGCGGUAAUACGUAGGGGGCGAGCGUUGUCCGGAUUUACUGGGCGUAAAGGGUGAGUAGGCGGUAAUAUGUGUCAGAUGUAAAAGGCGUAGGCUCAACCUAUGUUAGCAUCUGAAACUGUAUUACUUGAGUGCAGGAGAGGUAAGUGGAAUUCCUAGUGUAGCGGUGAAAUGCGUGGAUAUUAGGAGGAACACCAGUGGCGAAGGCGACUUACUGGACUGUAACUGACGCUGAGUCACGAAAGCGUGGGUAGCAAACAGGAUUAGAUACCCUGGUAGUCCACGCUGUAAACGAUGAGUGCUAGGUGUUGGGUAGCGAUAUUCAGUGCCGAAG
This 619-nucleotide ribosomal RNA is filed under the name uncultured bacterium. RNAcentral describes it as "bacterial SSU rRNA". It matches the Rfam family "Bacterial small subunit ribosomal RNA", at positions 214 to 851 of the family's 1533-position model. The record is from RNAcentral.